RNAcentral lists this ribosomal RNA (490 nucleotides) under uncultured bacterium. RNAcentral's name for it is "partial 16S ribosomal RNA". It matches the Rfam family "Bacterial small subunit ribosomal RNA", at positions 29 to 507 of the family's 1533-position model. The record is from RNAcentral.
AGUGAACGCUGGCGGCAGGCCUAACACAUGCAAGUCGAACGGCAGCACAGGGGAGCUUGCUCCCUGGGUGGCGCGUGGCGGACGGGUGAGGAAUACAUCGGAAUCUACCCUGUCGUGGGGGAUAACGUAGGGAAACUUACGCUAAUACCGCAUACGACCUCCGGGUGAAAGCAGGGGAUCGCAAGACCUUGCGCGUUUGGCUGAGCCGAUGUCCGAUUAGCUAGUUGGCGGGGUAAAGGCCCACCAAGGCGACGAUCGGUAGCUGGUCUGAGAGGAUGAUCAGCCACACUGGAACUGAGACACGGUCCAGACUCCUACGGGAGGCAGCAGUGGGGAAUAUUGGACAAUGGGCGAAAGCCUGAUCCAGCCAUGCCGCGUGGGUGAAGAAGGCCUUCGGGUUGUAAAGCCCUUUUGUUGGGAAAGAAAACUUUCCGGUUAAUACCCGGAGAGAAUGACGGUACCCAAAGAAUAAGCACCGGCUAACUUCGUG